Molecule: long non-coding RNA, 4749 nt
Filed under: Taeniopygia guttata (zebra finch)
Lineage: Eukaryota; Metazoa; Chordata; Aves; Passeriformes; Estrildidae
Description: lncRNA (ENSTGUG00000029235.1)
Source: RNAcentral
GGAAUUACAUAGAGACUGUAUUGCAUAUUUUUUCUCUUUUUCUAAUACAUCUUUAUGUAAAUCUAAUUUCUCCAUGGGUUGUUAAAAAUGUCUAGGAAAAAUGUUAUCAAUAAUUGAAGCAUGCAAUUAUAUUUUCUAUUAAAAACAAACAAAUUUAAAAAAAACCUCCAAACUUUUGAAUGCUUUUUGUAAAUGAUAUAAAAAAAUCCUAUGAGGGUAAUUUUCUCAAUUUAGAUAUUGAAUAUGCAUGAAAAUACAGUAAAAGUAGGACUACUCAUGUUUGUUAGUAGGAAGGGUUUUCUGGCUAAAAUAAAUUAAUGCAAACAUGAAAAAUAUGCAGCUAAUCCAUAAAUAGUUCUUAAAGACAAGCCUUGCAGUACAGUAAUGCACAUUAAUCAGGGGUUAGUCAAAAGAAUUAGGAAUUCAGUGAAUCCUAUAUGGUCUUAUUAAUGAAUCUGUUGAUUACCGUUCAGGAUCAUGAGAAAUUCUCUGAAUUAAUAAUGAUUUAAAAUGUUUACCCAGAAUAAAUAGCUAAAACACAGAAUUGACCAUCAAAUUAACUUUAAUGUCUGUCUUUUAAGUUUCUUCUCCAUAUCAACUACAGCUGAAGAGAGAGUGAAGUUAUAACACUGAACUAUAAAAUAAUCAAGAACUAAUUAACAAUUCCUCUGGUAGGUCUGCUGUGCUACAGGUAUCACAAAAUUAAAAAUGAAGAAAAUGUGUUCACAGGUAGGAUUUUCCCCUGGCAAAUAUAAUGUGUAACUUAUAUUCUUGUGGGAAAGGUAAAUUUGUAAAUCUUUGAAGGAAAAAAAUAAUAAUAAAUAAUAUUAAAUUAUUUAACACAGCAACAAAUGAGCUUUCUAUAACUUAUAAGCAAAUAUUAAUAUCUAAAAUUAAAGAGAACUGGGGAGAGUGGAAGCCACUAAAGCAGCAAACACUUUUCUCAAAUUACUCAAGUAGCUGCCACAUUAAUUUUUUCAUUACUUUAAUUCUCAGCUCCUCGGAUCCUGCAGUUCAGGUGGACUCUACAACUGUAUUUGCACUCCCCAGGUGACAUAUCAUGUCCAGUAAACAAAAUAUAGAAAUAUCCUGUGGGUCAAUAAUAAUAUCAGGCUCAGAAAAAUUUAUUUUGAAACUGAAAUUCUGUAAGGAAAAGCUCCUGUGCAUUUCUUAUUCUCCUUAUCAGUUAUUUCUACCCAUACCUUUUAAUAUUAUGUUCUUUGAUUUGAAAAUGUCAUGAAAAUCACAGGCAUUUAUAGUCUCAUGAAGAAAAAAAUAAAAGAAUGAGAACAUAGACAAAGCUUUUUAGUAUCAAAUGUCUUAACUGCCAGGUCCCCUUUUUCCUGAAGGCAAGAAUGAGGGAGAAAUAUUAGCACGGACUAACAUUUUUAUUGAUGGUUAACAGCAAGCAUGAGAAAGGAAGCUUCAAAGAGCUUGCCAGGAGUCCACAGGCAUUGUAAUGUAUCAGAAAUUUGUCAUCUGUCAUCAAAUUUAUCAGCUGGCUACUGUAACAUCUUUAGACCAGCUAUAAAGGGUGCCAUUAGUCCCUACUGCUAACACUAUCCUCAAGGAUCCCGGUGUUUCGCAGAAGAAAGGUUUGUAGCAACUUUUCAUAUGUAUGAAAACAUGCUCAGCAUUAUUAAUUGGUCCUGAGACAAGCAGUAUGUUUGCUGUAUACAAUUGAGCAAAAAGCCUUACUCAGUGCAAAGCUUUCAUCCAAUUAUCUACCAGUAAAAGCAGACAAGCUGAUUGAAAGGAGGAGGUGAUAUAUAACAACACAAUUUUCCUUGCACAAAGCGAUAUUUUUAGCUUUUGCAAUUUGUACUGAAACUCAUUAUUCUUCUCCAUUAUGGAUAAAGGGGAAACUUUGUAAGUGCCCAAGUCUGUGACUUCUCUAAUUUUAAAUCUAGCUCAAAUGACUGUUUUCCACAGGGAGAUGACUAAAUGAUAUACAGCCACUCACCAGGCAUUUGUCUCCUGUUCACAUUUAGGGAAAGCUAUCAAGAAUUAAACUUUGUGCAGCCAUUACACUGGUAAGGAUAUUAAAGGUAGGACUGUGCUACAUUAGAUACAACAUAAUGAAGGAUGUUGCAUUGCAGUCAGUCUAGAAUUGAUGUCACAGGACGAGUGUCUUUGUCUCAAACACAGAGAGCUACAAACCAUAAUUAGGUACCUGCUCUCUGUUGAAUAUUUCUUGGCACAACAUAAUCACUUGCCAUCCCUUUAGCCUCCUUUUGAGAAUCCAAACAGGCUGAUUUUUUUUAUUCUUUUGAAUAACAGCAGGAUUUUAUUGAACUGCCUGGACAUACCUGUGAAAAAAAUGGUCUAAAAAUGUUGCUCUGAUUCUUAAGUUUUUCUAAAGCCUUCUGAGUUUACAUACUGUUGGAAAACUUUCCCACACAAUUUCUGUAAAAAACAUAUUGUUUUGCAUUCCUUCAUGGGGGUGGAGAAACUUGAUGUACUAGUGGUUUGUCCAAUGUCUUUGGAGAGGUGGCCCAUUCACUCUCCAAUCCACUGUCACCUUUGGAAAAGUAUAAAAGUUGGAGUCAGAAAAUAAACUUUCUCUUUUACCUUGCAAAAUAGCAGGUAACUCGCGUUGUGCUUUCACGUGUCCUAUAGCAACAUAACAAUAUUCACAAUAUGCACACAGAUGAGAAAAUUAUACUAGCAGCUGCUGGAAACAUGUGAAACCAUUUUAAAAGCAUAAGAAUUAUUUUUUUUUUUUAAGUUAAAACUAAAAGUAACAAAGAAAGUAACAGUUUUGACUGCAGCACUUUUCAGAGAAUAAUCCCCUCGAGCAACAUGGCCACAGAGGAUAAAGAAAUAUCUAAUCCAAGUUUACACAGAAACCAAGUCCAGUACCUGAUUUUUAGUUCAGUGAACUCUUUGCUAUUUGUGCAUGAAGAAAAUUUGCAGGCCUCGCUUAGAAGCAAAAAAUAUUAGAGGUCUUCCUCCAUGUAUACCUUUAUGUUCCUUCAUGUCCCUUCAGUAAAGCCACUAUUUCUCUCUCAAGUUUCUCAUUCCAAUGUAAAAUGAACUGAGGUAUAUCUGUUAUUCAACUGCAAAACCAAAAAUAUUUCUGUGUGGAGUUUACUAAGGGAAAAAAUAAGCUUGGUGCUUUCUCUUCUCUAGCUUUUUCUAUAUUUCAGGGUUGAGACAAUUCAGAACAAACAUAUACAGACAAAGGUUAGUAGCACACACAAAACACAUUAAUUAAUUAUCAGAAAGAAAAUAAAUCAACAAACGUAUAAGUCACACUAUAAGAAAACUGCAGAAAAAUCUUUAGAAACCAAAAAAUUCCCAUUAGAAACUAGAAAUUGUUUUAGGAAGGAACAGAACUACCUAUCUUCUUUCUCCAGGGUAAGAGCAUUAAGAUCCAAAGUUGUAAUUGAAAUUUGCAACUUUGGAUGCUUGGCUUGUAAGUGUGAAUUUGAAAUGUGUUUUCCACUGAGUCUAGAUGGGGUCUUUACAGGCUCUUUUUUGUGACACAUGUUCAAUGCUAACAGCAUUAUUUGAUCAUUUUGUGGGAAUAUUGGCACUCAAAUAGUUUCUCCUGGUUCUCUACAUAAUUAGACCAUAUAUACAUAAAAACCUCCCCAAAACACUGAAUAGCAGGAAAAAAUCUAAGACUGUGUAUCUUUUUUUGCAGAGAUAGAACUGAAAUUCCCUGCAUAGGUAGACAGUGGUCACCUAGUGACUGAAAUCCACGUGACGGGGACCAACAACUCUACCUCUGAAAUUGCAGGAUGUAGUUUAUAGUUUUGCAAGCCAGAUAUUCACCAUUCUUUACUUCUAUUUUAAAAAAUCCAAAACACUGAGUUAUGAAAUGAAAAUUUUGUUUAGGUUAUUGUACAGUUCCAGGAAGCAGUUAGUGGGAAAACCCAAAUCCCUUUUGGCUUUCUCUCCCUUUUCUCAGUCCAUUGGCAAUGUUAAACUCAAAAAGAGCUUUGCAACACUUGUCACUCCAGCAGUGACAGCUCUGGCCACAGUCACACUGAGGGGAGUGACUGGAGUAAUGACUUGCUUCUAUCCAAGUUCUUUGCUCAUCCUCAAAACACAGUCAGCUAAAUGCAGAUAUGAAAUAUUUAAAACUGUUGAGAACUUCAUAGUAAUUUUAUACCACAUAUGCAAGUUCUCCAGCAGGAGUUUGUGGUCAUCUGAAAGCUGUAAGUGACUUGAAUACUAUGGCAUUAUGUUAAAUAUUUAUGUUAAAGGUCAUCUUAACCUAUUAUAACAGAGUGACUUAAAUGUAGUAGAAGAAAUAAAGAAUCCAGAACAGUAUAAGUUCAAGAUUUUAACAAAAUCUACGACACAUUAUUAUUAUUAUUAUUAUUAUUGUUGUUGUUGUUGUUGUUGUUGUUGUUGUUGUUGUUGUUGUUGUUGUUGUUGUUAUAAAUAAGUUGCUCAAAGCAUUGCCAUUUAGAAGGAUGUAUUAUUUUAAUAUGCAUUUAAAAAAUUGCGACUUAAAAAUUCUGUGUUGAGCAAGUAUGCUUGAUAAGAUACUUGCAUGAGGAGAUGGAGAAGUGGCACACCAGAUCCACCCAUAUCAACUUCAUUUAGUAUUUCCAGUGUUUUUACCACCAAAAAGAAAGAAGCCUUUGCAGAAUGCUGAAAAUCAGUGGCAGUACUUAGGGUUUUUUUUUCUAUUUCAUAGUGUAUAUUAUUAUUCUAGUCCUUCCUAAAGCACCAUAAAACUUCUACUUGCCAUUUUAUUAAGGUUGAUUUAAAAAGGGAAAAAAAAAAAAAAAA